GACAGAGGGUGCAAACGUUGUUCGGAAUUACUGGGCGUAAAGCGCGUGUAGGCGGCUCUGCAAGUCGGGUGUGAAAUCCCUCAGCUUAACUGAGGAAGUGCGCCCGAAACUGCUUUGCUUGAGUGCCGGAGAGGAUGGCGGAAUUCCCCAAGUAGAGGUGAAAUUCGUAGAUAUGGGGAGGAACACCGGUGGCGAAGGCGGCCAUCUGGACGGUAACUGACGCUGAGACGCGAAAGCGUGGGUAGCAAACAGG
This 253-nucleotide ribosomal RNA is filed under the name uncultured bacterium. RNAcentral's name for it is "partial 16S ribosomal RNA". It matches the Rfam family "Bacterial small subunit ribosomal RNA", at positions 524 to 776 of the family's 1533-position model. The record is from RNAcentral.